UAAUACGUAGGAUGCUAGCGUUGUCCGGAUUUACUGGGCGUAAAGCGCGCGCAGGCGGCACCCCAAGUACCCUGUGAAAUCCACCUGCUCAACGGGUGGGGUGCAGGGUAGACUGAGGAGCUAGAGAGAGGUAGAGGGGGGUAGAAUUGCUGGUGUAGCGGUGAAAUGCGUAGAGAUCAGCAGGAAUACCCGUGGCGAAGGCGGCCCCCUGGGCCUCUUCUGACGCCGAGGCGCGAAGGCUGGGGGAGCGAACGGGAUUAGAUACCCCGGUAGUCCCAGCAGUAAACGAUGACCACUAGGUGUGGGGGGUGUUGACCCCCUCCGUGCCGUAGCUAACGCAUUAAGUGGUCCGCCUGGGGAGUACGGUCGCAAGACUA
RNAcentral lists this ribosomal RNA (377 nucleotides) under uncultured bacterium. Its description in RNAcentral is "bacterial SSU rRNA". It matches the Rfam family "Bacterial small subunit ribosomal RNA", at positions 521 to 896 of the family's 1533-position model. The record is from RNAcentral.